Molecule: ribosomal RNA, 164 nt
Filed under: uncultured bacterium
Lineage: Bacteria
Description: partial 16S ribosomal RNA
Rfam family: Bacterial small subunit ribosomal RNA
Source: RNAcentral
UAGGGAAUCUUCCACAAUGGGCGCAAGCCUGAUGGAGCAACGCCGCGUGAGUGAAGAAGGGUUUCGGCUCGUAAAGCUCUGUUGUUAAAGAAGAACACGUAUGAGAGUAACUGUUCAUACGUUGACGGUAUUUAACCAGAAAGUCACGGCUAACUACGUGCCAG